RNAcentral lists this ribosomal RNA (512 nucleotides) under uncultured bacterium. Its description in RNAcentral is "partial 16S ribosomal RNA". It matches the Rfam family "Bacterial small subunit ribosomal RNA", at positions 28 to 507 of the family's 1533-position model. The record is from RNAcentral.
GAUGAACGCUGGCGGCGUGCCUAAUACAUGCAAGUCGAACGCUACUUCUUUAUCUCCCUUUGCUUGCUCUCUCCGAUACAGAGUUGAGUGGCGAACGGGUGAUUAAUACUUGCGCAACCUGCCCAUAAGAAGGGGUUAACACUUCCGCACAGGUGCUAAUACCGCAUAACCAUUGUUACCGCAUGGUAACUAUGUCACUACUGGCUAUACUACCGCUUUUGUAUGUGCCCGCGGCGAAUUCGCUUGUUGGUGGGGUAAAGGCUUACCAAGGCAAGGAUGGGUAGCCGAAUUGAGGGGUUGAUGGGCAACAUGGGGACGGAGACACGGCCAAAACUCCUACGGGAGGAAGCAGUAGGGAAUCUUCGAAAAUGGGCGAAAGCCUGAUGGAGCAAGGCCGGGGGGGUGAAGAAGGUCUUCGGAUCGUAAAACCCUGUUGUUAGAGAGGAAAGGGGGUGAGAGGAACUGUUCACGUUGUGACGGUAUCUAACCAGAAAGCCACGGCUAACUACGUG